UACGAAGGGGGCUAGCGUUGUUCGGAAUUACUGGGCGUAAAGCGCACGUAGGCGGGUCGUUAAGUCAGGGGUGAAAUCCCAGAGCUCAACUCUGGAACUGCCUUUGAUACUGGCGACCUAGAGUUCGGAAGAGGUUAGUGGAAUUCCGAGUGUAGAGGUGAAAUUCGUAGAUAUUCGGAGGAACACCAGUGGCGAAGGCGGCUCACUGGCUCGGUACUGACGCUGAGGUGCGAAAGCGUGGGGAGCAAACAGG
Molecule: ribosomal RNA, 253 nt
Filed under: uncultured bacterium
Lineage: Bacteria
Description: partial 16S ribosomal RNA
Rfam family: Bacterial small subunit ribosomal RNA
Source: RNAcentral